CUGCCAGUAGCCAGAGAGGCAGGAGCUCUGUAAGCCAUGAUGUGAGUCAAAUUGCAGGAAUCGGAAAACAGCGGGUCCUUUCUGAGGCGGACUCCAGGCAAAUCUUCAGUACAAAACAGAUCCAGCAACUGCAUGUUGGGGAGAACUACCAACCAUCAGUGGAGAUGGGGGCCACAAGGAUGCGACCACCAACAGCCAGCACCCUCUGCAUGUGCCACUUCCACCAGAACCAGACCCAGGACCGGACCCUGCUGCUGGACUAAUUGGCCAUGGUGGAGGACUGGCUGACAGACUCUGGGACCUGGUGAACCUAGUACCUGGUAAAAGAGCAGGAGAGGGACCAGGUGUACCUCAUCCUCGAGAAGAGACAGAUUGCCCUCCUGGAGAGGCUGAUUGAGA
This is a long non-coding RNA of Alligator sinensis (Chinese alligator), 399 nucleotides long. RefSeq lists it as uncharacterized. The transcript is spliced from 3 exons. NCBI's taxonomy places the organism in Eukaryota, Metazoa, Chordata, Crocodylia, Alligatoridae. The record is from RefSeq and is a predicted model, not a curated record.